Molecule: unclassified non-coding RNA, 673 nt
Filed under: Hevea brasiliensis (rubber tree)
Lineage: Eukaryota; Viridiplantae; Streptophyta; Magnoliopsida; Malpighiales; Euphorbiaceae
Source: RNAcentral
GUUUACUUGGAACUUUCCUUAGGGUGAGUGAGAUAGAAUGAUCUGCAUAGAAGAGCAUGAAAUGGCUGUCAUUAAAUAUUCAUGUCUUGUGAGAUUGUCAAAUAAUGAUUUACCGGAAUUAUAUAUAGCUUGUCUGAUAUGGUUACAAAUAGUUAUUUUAUAUGUAUGUUGGCUACCAAAUUUCUACGUGCAUUGAGCAAAUUUGUAUGAUACUUUCUUCAACAAGAUGAUGUUUUUUAGACUUAAAAGGAAAAUGGAGGAUAGGUCAAAAAUUAAAGCCAGAUGCAACAAGGUGUUUUGCAUUCUGUUUUGAAUGUCUGGGAAAGGCUCGUUGAUGUGGUGUGAAAGAUAGUUCAAUUUUUUCUUGGCAAAUGGGAGCUUUAAUGGCUGGAAUGUGAAAUUAAUCUUUAAAACAAACUGUGUCAUGCUUAGUUGAAUAGUUGGAUUUACGGGUACUUUCUUUUUGUGAAGCACAAGCACAGAACUUGUGUUAUUUUAACCCUGUGUUUUUACUUUUUCCAUCGUGUUUUCCAUAUCUUUAAUUUAAUGCUUUGUUAUUAUUUCCUGUCAGUGACUUGAAAGAGGUCUGGGUUGCAGUCCUUAACAUUACAGGUCCCUUAUCAAGUUGGUCACUUGCGGACAAUAUACUUCCAGCUCCUGAAGCAAUUGAUGG